RNAcentral lists this non-coding RNA (223 nucleotides) under uncultured Enterocloster sp. Lineage: Bacteria; Bacillati; Bacillota; Clostridia; Lachnospirales; Lachnospiraceae. The record is from RNAcentral.
AAUCCGGUAUAUCCAAGGCCUAACCAGCCAGAUAUUAGCGAGUCCUGGGAUGGUGCCAGUAAUGACACCUGACAAGCGUAGACAGCAAGCAAGUAGGGUCGUUAAAGCGAUUGAGCCUCGAAAAGUUAGUUAUUCCAGUUGGCCGACGUCUUAACUGGUGCGGAAGGCAACAUCGUGCAGCUCGACAUGGUGAGAACUGCAUGGCACUGCGGGGUCAGAGAGC